RNAcentral lists this ribosomal RNA (1389 nucleotides) under Triticum aestivum (bread wheat). RNAcentral describes it as "partial small subunit ribosomal RNA". The record is from RNAcentral. Lineage: Eukaryota; Viridiplantae; Streptophyta; Magnoliopsida; Poales; Poaceae.
AUGGCGAAGAAGGGGAAGGACGCCGCCGAGCCCGACGCCAAGGCGGCGGCCGUCCGCUCCCUCUUCUCCGCCGACAACCCCUUCCGCCGCAAGGAGUCCGCUCCCCCACCGACCCCCGCGUCCGCAUCCGCCGCCGUCCCCAAGCCGGCGCGCAAGCCCCGGAGGUGGCCCGAGGCGGAGGCGGAGGCGGAGGCGGAGCCCGCGGUGCCGUCCCGGAGGAAGCGGAGCGAGGAGGAUGGGGAGGGCCCGGCGCGGCGCAAGCGGAAGCGGGACGAGGUGGAGUCCGGCUACGAGCGGCGGACGCUGGGGGCGGCGCCCGCGGACAACGAGGAGCGGCCGCGGCCGGUCGUCGGGGCCAAGAGGAAGGCGCCCCACGACGUCGAGGCGGCGGCCUCCGGCGGGGAGUCGGAGGACGAGGCGUUCGACGACGAGGGCAAGCUGCUCAGGACGGUCUUCGUGGGGAACCUGCCGCUGCGGACCAAGCGCAAGGCGCUCACCAAGGAGUUCGCCGCCUUCGGCGAGGUCGACUCCGUCAGGAUCCGCUCUGUGCCCCUCGGCGACACCAAGAUUCCGCGGAAGGGAGCCGUCAUCAAAGGCAAGAUCAAUGACUUGGUCGACAAUGUACAUGCCUACAUCGUCUUCAAAGAUGAGCAGUGUGCGCGGACAGCUUUAUCUCAUAAUAUGGCACUGUUCAAUGGCAAUCACAUCCGUGUUGACAUGGCGUGUCCGCCUCGUAAAAAGCUAAGAGGAGAAGGACCUCUUUAUGACAGAAAGAGGACAGUGUUUGUUGGUAACCUUCCAUUCGAUGUAAAGGAUGAGGAGCUCUACCAGCUCUUCUGCGGUCCCAGUGGACCACAAGGUGAUGUUGAAGCUAUACGAGUUGUCAGAGAUCCAGAUUCAAGCCUAGGAAAGGGUAUCGCUUAUGUUCUAUUCAAAACAAGGGAAGCUGCUAACUCUGUUGUGAAAAAACGUGGCCUUAAGAUCAGAGACCGCUUUUUGAGGCUCACCCAUGCAAAGGCAGCCGACGCGACGCCGAAGGCAGAUUCUGGGAAAAAGCGCGGCACUCCAAAACAGAAGACACCUUUCACGCCAGGCAGCAAGUCUCGCGAAGGCAGCGACAGUAACAAACGCAAGGCGCCGGCAAGCCUGUCUUACCAAGGCCUGAAGUCGACCAAAUCCGGCGUCGUGAAGAAGGUGAAGGUGGCCCGGCGCCCCAUCAACCAAGGGAAGCAGCAAGGCAGGCCUAGCGAGACGGGACAAAGCGAGAGUGCCCGCAAGGCCAAGCGGCCCGCCGUGGCAGCAAGGAAGGCGAAGCAGCUGAACAAGAAGCGCAAGCAGGACGGCUCGACGCCCGAGAACACGCACCGGAGCAAGAAGGCGAGGAAGUAG